Long non-coding RNA from Mesocricetus auratus (golden hamster), 1077 nucleotides. RefSeq lists it as uncharacterized. The record is from RefSeq and is a predicted model, not a curated record. NCBI's taxonomy places the organism in Eukaryota, Metazoa, Chordata, Mammalia, Rodentia, Cricetidae. The transcript is spliced from 2 exons.
CAACAUGUGAUACCAUGCCAACCUCCCCAAGAAUGUGGCUGAGUUUCAAAUGCUCUUGGGGAGAGACAGUUGUGUUUGGGGUGUGUCUAUUUAAUCUCAAGAAAUGCUAGAGCUGGUUACCGGUCAGCAGCUCUGAUUUUGUGUGCCGGGUGUUUACCAAAGGAAACAUUUCAUACGUCCAGGUAGAGAGAAGAAACCACAGACUUCUGUGCCAGCAACGCUGGGAAUGUGGGCAUGGUUGACAAGUUCUGGAGACUAACACUUGUCAGGGCUUCCCACAACUCCACUGCUUUCUUAAAAAGAAACCAACCUUGCGAAGUUCAUGCCCACUGGAAAGUAUGUAACUUCUCCUUUUCUUAAGGCUCCACCUAAGUUGGUGCCUAUAGCCGUGCUGUAACCAUUUCCUGACAGACUCCAGUUCCGUUCACAGUGACUAGUCUUCUCCACAGUGCAGUUGGAAGGUCCCCAUUGGCAGUGGAGCUAAACCUCACUGGGGUGAGAGUCUGUGCCUCCAGUGCUGCUGACUUUCCCGUGUUUCUGACUUCCAGUAAGUACCACCACGUCCAUCAUCCAGACUAAGGCUUACCAAACGCGACAUCAUCCAAGUCCUCUGCUUCUUGGUGACGUCACCAGAUCCAUCACUUGACUUCAAGAGAAAGUUGAAUUAAGUGAAAACAGAGCAGAGCAGCUCAGAGAGAGGCUGAAAUGAGUCCUGGGAGCCCAGGCUUUCCCACAGGGCUCUGGGCCGAAUGAAGACACCCCCACCAGGCCAUCAGCAUCCGAGUGUCAUCCCUGCUCGGCUCUGUAGUUUAAAUGGAGAGAGGCUCCAGGAAGGCCCAUACUCCCUAAGCCACAAGUAACUCCCCCAUGGAAGUGGCCUAAUGUCCACUGUCCCUCAUUUGGGGCAGUAUAUAUUUGAUUGUGCUCCUUUCCUGCUGUUCUUUCUCUUUGUCUGGUUUGAAAAUGCCACACACAGUCCUGGAUUCUGGGCAUUUUUAGCAUGAUCAUUUUUCAAGUGCAUAAGACGUGUUCUUGCUGAAGCUCAUUUCUCCAUGCCUAGUAAAGCAUUUUAUCGUC